CAGUAGCCACGGGAAAACGUAGGGGGCGAGCGUUGUCCGAAGUUACUGGGCGUAAAGAGCGCGUAGGCUGGUCUUUAAGUGAGUGGUGAAGGGUUCGGGCUCAACCCGGACACUGCCUUUCAUACUGGGGACCUUGAGUGUGGGAGAGGCGAGUGGAAUGGUCGGUGUAGCGGUGAAAUGCGUAGAUAUCGAUCGGAACACCCAUGGCGAAGGCAGCUCGCUGGCCUAACACUGACGCUGAGGCGCGAAAGCGUGGGGAGCAAACAGGAUUAGAUACCCGCGUAGUCCCUGUCUCUUAUAC
Molecule: ribosomal RNA, 301 nt
Filed under: uncultured bacterium
Lineage: Bacteria
Description: partial 16S ribosomal RNA
Rfam family: Bacterial small subunit ribosomal RNA
Source: RNAcentral